Molecule: ribosomal RNA, 414 nt
Filed under: Escherichia coli
Lineage: Bacteria; Pseudomonadati; Pseudomonadota; Gammaproteobacteria; Enterobacterales; Enterobacteriaceae
Description: partial 23S ribosomal RNA
Rfam family: Bacterial large subunit ribosomal RNA
Source: RNAcentral
GAAUGCUGACAUAAGUAACGAUAAAGCGGGUGAAAAGCCCGCUCGCCGGAAGACCAAGGGUUCCUGUCCAACGUUAAUCGGGGCAGGGUGAGUCGACCCCUAAGGCGAGGCCGAAAGGCGUAGUCGAUGGGAAACAGGUUAAUAUUCCUGUACUUGGUGUUACUGCGAAGGGGGGACGGAGAAGGCUAUGUUGGCCGGGCGACGGUUGUCCCGGUUUAAGCGUGUAGGCUGGUUUUCCAGGCAAAUCCGGAAAAUCAAGGCUGAGGCGUGAUGACGAGGCACUACGGUGCUGAAGCGACAAAUGCCCUGCUUCCAGGAAAAGCCUCUAAGCAUCAGGUAACAUCAAAUCGUACCCCAAACCGACACAGGUGGUCAGGUAGAGAAUACCAAGGCGCUUGAGAGAACUCGGGUGAA